AGCGAACGCUGGCGGCAGGCUUAACACAUGCAAGUCGAGCGGGCAUCCUUGUGGUGUCAGCGGCAGACGGGUGAGUAACGCGUGGGAACGUGCCCUUCGGUUCGGAAUAACUCAGGGAAACUUGAGCUAAUACCGGAUACGCCCUUUUGGGGAAAGGUUUACUGCCGAAGGAUCGGCCCGCGUCUGAUUAGCUAGUUGGUGAGGUUAUGGCUCACCAAGGCGACGAUCAGUAGCUGGUCUGAGAGGAUGAUCAGCCACACUGGGACUGAGACACGGCCCAGACUCCUACGGGAGGCAGCAGUGGGGAAUAUUGGACAAUGGGGGCAACCCUGAUCCAGCCAUGCCGCGUGAGUGAUGACGGCCUUAGGGUUGUAAAGCCCUUUUCUCCGGGACGAUAAUGACGGUACCGGAGGAAUAAGCCCCGGCUAACUUCGUG
Molecule: ribosomal RNA, 436 nt
Filed under: uncultured bacterium
Lineage: Bacteria
Description: partial 16S ribosomal RNA
Rfam family: Bacterial small subunit ribosomal RNA
Source: RNAcentral